UGGGGUGUCGCCAAGCGGUAAGGCAGUGGACUCUGACUCCACCACCCGGGGUUCGAAUCCCUGCACCCCAACCA
This 74-nucleotide transfer RNA is filed under the name Ruminococcus sp. RNAcentral describes it as "tRNA-Gln". It matches the Rfam family "tRNA". From Rfam's summary of the family: Transfer RNA (tRNA) molecules are approximately 80 nucleotides in length. Their secondary structure includes four short double-helical elements and three loops (D, anti-codon, and T loops). Lineage: Bacteria; Bacillati; Bacillota; Clostridia; Eubacteriales; Oscillospiraceae. The record is from RNAcentral.